UCAUGUGACCUUUGCAAAACUCGGCGUGUCAGAGACUAUUGUCCACGAGGAGAGCGCGAUCUAGUGUAAACAGGCAGACGUUGUUAUUGGGGAAAAAAGAUCAAUGGUCAACUUUUGAUAUUGUUUGAACCGGAAGGUAAAGAAGAUGUAUGAUCGUCGAAUAAAUCUGGAUUCAGAAACACACCUU
Molecule: non-coding RNA, 187 nt
Organism: Caenorhabditis elegans
Lineage: Eukaryota; Metazoa; Nematoda; Chromadorea; Rhabditida; Rhabditidae
Source: Ensembl